UUCAACAUUCUCGUCAUAUCUUAUUUCAUGACUUUUUGCCGUUUGAAGGUUUUACGUAUAGUUUGUUUUUGAAACGGAACAUUUACAUAACACUAGGUAAACAAGUUAUACAACAUUAGUAUGCCUGUUGUGAUUGUGAUGAUCAAACUUGAGAAACAGUCAUCCGACCGUCAGAUCUGACCAUCAUGAUAAAAUACAUGUAUGGGAAAAAAUUCAACUUGAUCCGAAAAGAAUAAGGGCUCGAUCCGGACGGUCAAUCUCGUAAGUCAAACCCCUAAACGCACGGAAAAGGUCGUUCGACCGUCUAAAUUACGUAUUUUGGCCGGACCUCCAACUGAAAAUAGUUUUAAACCGAUGACACGCAACAAGUCGUAUAAAAAUUUUACGUAAAAUAACCACCGAAUAUAGGACUAUAGUAGGUAAUAGAAAAAUUUUAGGGUUUAGCCGACGAAUACCCUAACGUAUUCGUCGGCUAUAGUAUGUAAUUAAAAAUUAAAAAAUCACUAUAGCCGACGAAAUAUUAGGUUAUUCGUCGGCUAAAGUAUUUUAGCCGACGAACUAUACUGUAUUUCGUCGGCUAUAGUAUGUAAUUAAAAAUUAAAAAUAACUAUAGCCGACGAAAUAUUAGGUUAUUCAUCGGCUAAAGUAUUUUAGCCGACGAAUUAUAAUGUAUUUCGUCGGCUAUAGUAUGUAAUUAAAAAUUAAAAUAACUAUAGCCGACGAAAUAUUAGGUUAUUCGUCGGUAAAAACCAUCUUAGCCGACGAAAUAUAGUAUAUUUCGUCGGCUAAUAGGGGUUUAGCCGACGAAAUAUGGUGUAUUUCGUCGGCUAAAUGAAAAAAUACAUUAAAAAACAGACGAUAUUAGUAAACCAUACUUAAAUUUCCUGUUCAUCAUGUAUCACCAAAAUUCAUAUAAAAUAACUGAAAUAUGAAUUCAACAUGUGUAAACUAUAAAGGAAAAGGUCUUUAAUUAGUUAUACAAUGCAAAUUAAUGGAUUUCGUCCUCUAAAUUAAAACUAAGGCUCGUAAUCGGAAUCAUCCGAUGAGUCUUCUUCGGUGUCAGAAUUAAUUUCUGGUAAUAUAUGUCUUUCCUCGUCGCCAGAAUCUUCGUCUGUUUCGUGAUUUGGAUCAACAUCAAUAAGCCUUGGCUCUUCAUCACGAAUUCGCACCGAACGACCCGCUUUAAAAUUAUUAAGGCGAACGGUAGAGGAGUUAGGAAUACCUAUUGCGUUGGGCUCUUGAUACGCAACAUCCUCUUCCUCGUCUUCGGCCUCUCCAAGUGUAGCCGCCCGGUAAAUGUUUCGAGGGUGCACAAGGUUGACUA
This 1324-nucleotide long non-coding RNA is filed under the name Fragaria vesca (wild strawberry). RNAcentral describes it as "long non-coding RNA (FVES_LNC005213)". Lineage: Eukaryota; Viridiplantae; Streptophyta; Magnoliopsida; Rosales; Rosaceae. The record is from RNAcentral.